CGCCUCCUCAAGCCUUGCUUGACGUUGAAUGAUCGUUCCCCCCGGAACGCAUUCGAAAAUCAGCGGCGGUGCGGCUGACCCUCAAGCGUAGUAGUGUUUCUGUUCGCUUCGACGGGUGCAGCCGGGCCGGCCGAACAACCCCCCCAUUUUUCAC
This 154-nucleotide unclassified non-coding RNA is filed under the name Gregorella humida. Its description in RNAcentral is "partial internal transcribed spacer 2". Lineage: Eukaryota; Fungi; Ascomycota; Lecanoromycetes; Arctomiales; Arctomiaceae. The record is from RNAcentral.